CAACAUAUGUGCCUUUAACACGCAGCAGCAUAAAAGCGUGCAUGCAACAUUUCCCCUACUACUGUUGGACAACGCGUCACCUAAUUCCGCAAAUUUUACAACGUAUUUGCCGACAAAAAAACCCUGAUAUACCAACAUUACAACCAACUAUUGUCCCUGUAUCAUUUCUAUUCUGCUACUCAUCUCUGCCAUAUACAGAAGUACAGGUCAUUCUUUUUCUUGUUUUGUUGCCAUGUCCGCAAACACCUAGGCAGUCCCUGCUACUUCACUGCAGCAGGACGCGGAAGAGGCCCGGCUGUGCCUGCGUGUACUGAAGGCCGUGCUCCAGGAGGUACUGCUCGAUGGCGGCGGUCAGCCUCGCAGGGGUACGGGGGUUAGAGAUAAUGAUGGCCUGGAGCCGGCGGCCCGUGGAACGGGCGAUCUUCCUCCGGUUGUUGAGUUCGUUGUUCAGGACGUGCAUCGCCUCACUUGCAUGAAGACCACAAAGAUCGAUCGCGGGAUUCUGCUCCUGGAUGAGGCCUUGCAACUCUGGCAUCUGGAAUCUGGUGAAGGCAAUCAAGAGAAUAUUAGCCAACAACUCGUUUACCAUUUAGUAAUCUAGAGAGAGAGAUCAUGAUGUGAGAAUCAUUUCACAACCGAGCAUCGUGGUUGAUUCAUUUGCGGGGUACUGGACUACGAUAUAGUAGAUGGGCAGUGACUGGCACUGAUUUAUUAAGUAAUAAUAUUAAGCAAUAGCAUUGACUGUGACUCAAAAGGAGGUAUACAGCAUACUCCAUAAUGGUACACAAAUGAUCUGGCUGGUAUUGUAGAAUUUCAAGAUCUUAAACUUUAAACUUCAAUGCAAGCUACCCAUACAAGUUGAAUUAUACUCCCUCCGUUUCUAAAUAUAAGACCUUUUAGAGAUUUCAAUAUGGACUACAUACGGAUGUAUAUAAAACAUAUUUUAGAGUGUAGAUUCACUCGGUUUGCUCCAUAUGUAGUUCCUAUUGAAAUCUCUAAAAGGUCUUAUAUUUAGAAACGGAGGGAGUAAUAUACAGAACAUAUUAUUUUGAUAAUAUAUGAACAAUUUCUUAUCUUAAACAGCAUUCAAAUAAAACAGGUAAGUUUUCAGAUAAUAAUAAUGCAUGCAAACCAAGUACUCCCUCCGUUCCUAAAUAUAAGUCUUUCUAGAAAUUCCAAUAUGGACUACAUACAGAGCAAAAUGAGUGAAUCUACACUCUAAAAUAUGUCUAUAUACAUCCCUAUGUAAUCCAUAUUGAAAUCUCUAAAAAAGACAUAUUUAGAAACGGAGGGAGUAUGUUUAAAGAAAAUCUUCUAUUGUUCACUCACAUAAAAAGCCCAAGCACUGUAUGCUCACCAAGAAGAAAGCCUGGUGUGGCAUUUUGAAUUAUGCAAAAUUAUAGACAUAACAGUUUGUAUGUGCAGACGUGUUCAUUCUUACACAAGAUAACAUUAUCGGAACAUAUAUAAAUGUGACUCAAAAAAUGUGAGAUGGAGGAAAUUAGUGCUGACCUCUGUUGAUAUAUAUUUUCUCUAGCCUUCUCCUGAGCUAAUCUGCUUUGGAUAGAGUACAGCUCCUUAAUAUUUAGUUCCUUUGCUAAAGGAUUGCCACCAGUUAGAAAAGCUUGUCUAUCCUGCUAAAAAAAAUUAGACAGCAGCACUGUGAGCAAACAUAACCACAAGUUGAGAAAACAGUGCUCGCAAUACAAGAUAUAUUUCGAGAGGCCGCUAUUGAAGUGGUGUAAAAAUCAGAGUAUUUUAGAUUCUGUGCGGUCCUUGUAUGACCAACAGCAAACACAAAAUAAAAUGUUCAUAGGAAAUUGGUCCAUAUAGCAUAGCUCCAGAACACACUAACAAAAACUCUCUUCCUAUGAGAUGUAGUUUUACUGGCAGUGAGUUCAUUUUAAAUGCCAUGAACAACUAUAGUUUCCAGGUCUAGGUUCCUGUAAUUGUUACUACAUGGUGAGUGACGACCAUCAGUUCAUACUGCAGUAGAAUAAAAGAUGCUACUAAAAAAUUAUGGUAGUAAUUAAAUUAUGUGCAUUAUCACUACUAUACUACUUUCACUAACAUAAAAUUACCAUAUAUACUCACAAUAACUACGGCUCAAUUCCAACAAUCUGGUUUCCAGAGUAGUAUAUCUACCUGUUCAAGAAGUGCAUGUCUUAGACUUGCAAAAUCAUGAACUUCAUCCUUUUCCAAAAACAUGUUAGCUGUCAUAAGAAAAUUCAAACAAUAAGGCAACUAGGCAUCUGUGCUGCCACAGGUUCAUAAAAAAAACAUGUAUCAUAAUUCAAGAACACUACCCGUAGCAUCUGUGUCGAGCCAAGUUUGUCCCGUUUGAACUCCAGCAAUGUUUUGC
This 2362-nucleotide long non-coding RNA is filed under the name Triticum aestivum (bread wheat). Its description in RNAcentral is "long non-coding RNA (TAES_LNC001015)". The record is from RNAcentral. Lineage: Eukaryota; Viridiplantae; Streptophyta; Magnoliopsida; Poales; Poaceae.